This 76-nucleotide transfer RNA is filed under the name Escherichia coli. Its description in RNAcentral is "tRNA-Phe". It matches the Rfam family "tRNA". Rfam says of the family: Transfer RNA (tRNA) molecules are approximately 80 nucleotides in length. Their secondary structure includes four short double-helical elements and three loops (D, anti-codon, and T loops). The record is from RNAcentral. Lineage: Bacteria; Pseudomonadati; Pseudomonadota; Gammaproteobacteria; Enterobacterales; Enterobacteriaceae.
ACCGGCGUAGCUCAGUCGGUAGAGCAGGGGAUUGAAAAUCCCCGUGUCCUUGGUUCGAUUCCGAGUCCGGGCACCA